Molecule: ribosomal RNA, 508 nt
Filed under: uncultured bacterium
Lineage: Bacteria
Description: partial 16S ribosomal RNA
Rfam family: Bacterial small subunit ribosomal RNA
Source: RNAcentral
GACGAACGCUGGCGGCGUGCUUAACACAUGCAAGUCGAACGGGCCUUGUCCCCUUUUUUUUUGGGGGUGGGGUUAGUGGCGAACGGGUGAGUAACACGUGAGUAACCUGCCCCUCACUUCUGGAUAACCGCUUGAAAGGGUGGCUAAUACGGGGUGUUCUGGCCUGCUCGCAUGGGUGGGUUUGGAAAGAUUCGACCGGUUUUGGUUGUUUUGGUGGGGGAUGGGCUCGCGGCCUAUCAGCUUGUUGGUGGGGUGAUGGCCUGCCAAGGCUUUGACGGGUAGCCGGCCUGAGAGGGUGGGCGGUCACACUGGGACUGAGACACGGCCCAGACUCCUACGGGAGGCAGCAGUGGGGAAUAUUGCACAAGGGGCGCAAGCCGGAUGCAGCGACGCCGCGUGAGGGAUGGAGGCCUUCGGGUUGUGAACCUCUUUCGCCAGUGAAGAAGGUCCUGCUCUUUGUGGUGGGGUUGACGGUAGCUGGGUUAAUGAAGCGCCGGCUAACUACGUG